This 482-nucleotide ribosomal RNA is filed under the name uncultured bacterium. Its description in RNAcentral is "partial 16S ribosomal RNA". It matches the Rfam family "Bacterial small subunit ribosomal RNA", at positions 30 to 507 of the family's 1533-position model. The record is from RNAcentral.
AUUGAACGCUGGCGGCAUGCCUUACACAUGCAAGUCGAACGGUAACGGGCCUUCGGGUGCCGACGAGUGGCGUACGGGUGAGUAAUACAUCGGAACGUGCCCGAUCGUGGGGGAUAACGAGGCGAAAGCUUUGCUAAUACCGCAUACGAUCUACGGAUGAAAGCAGGGGACCGCAAGGCCUUGCGCGGACGGAGCGGCCGAUGGCAGAUUAGGUAGUUGGUGGGAUAAAAGCUUACCAAGCCGACGAUCUGUAGCUGGUCUGAGAGGAUGAUCAGCCACACUGGGACUGAGACACGGCCCAGACUCCUACGGGAGGCAGCAGUGGGGAAUUUUGGACAAUGGGCGCAAGCCUGAUCCAGCCAUGCCGCGUGCAGGAUGAAGGCCUUCGGGUUGUAAACUGCUUUUGUACGGAACGAAAAGCCUUCUUUUAAUACAGGAGGGUCAUGACGGUACCGUAAGAAUAAGCACCGGCUAACUACAUG